UACUCGCGGUCCAAGUCGCAGCCAUUUUUAUUGGGUCUAAAACAUCCGUAGCUUGCUUGGUAAGUUCCUUGUGAAAUUCCAUAUCUCAAAUAUGGAGCGCGCAGGGAGUACUGCCAAGCUAGAGACUGGAAGACGGAACGAGUACGUUUAAAGUAGCGGUAAAAUGUGUUAAUCUUAAACGGACUAACAAUAGCGAAGGCACGUUCCGAGGACAGUUCUGACAGUAAGGGAUGAAGGCUAGGGGCGCAAAACGGAUUAGAUACCCGUGUAGUCCUAGCAGUAAACACUGCACACUAAACACCAGUACCUCCUCGAGAGGUAUUGGUGCUGAAGGGAAGCCGAAGAGUGUGCUACCUGGGAAGUAUAGUCGCAAGGCCGAAACUUAAAGGAAUUGGCGGGGAGACACUACAACGAGUGACGCGUGCGGUUCAAUUAGAUUCUACACCGUGAACCUCACCAGGAGCGACAGCAGAAUGAAGGUCAGUCUGAAGGGCUUACCUGACACGAUGAGAUGAGCUGCAUGGCCGACGUCAGCCUGUGCCGUGAGGUGACCUGUUAAAUCAGGUAACAGGCAAGACCCCCCAUCCAUAUUUACUAAGUGUACAAUAUGGAGAUUGCCUUGGUAACGAGGAUGAAAGUUGGGGCUACGUUAGGUGAGUACAGCCAGAAUCCCCCUGGGCAACACGCGCGCGUCAAAUGGGUGGAUACAACGGGAUGCGACACCGAAAGGUGAAGCUAAUCUCUUAAAGUCCAUCUUAGUUCAGAUCGAGGUUUGUAACUCAGCCUCGUGACGCUGGAAUUCGUAGUAAUCGUUUGUCAUCAACGAACGGUGAAUAUGUCACUGUCUCUUUGCACACAACCGCCCGUCGUAUACU
Molecule: ribosomal RNA, 875 nt
Filed under: uncultured archaeon
Lineage: Archaea
Description: bacterial SSU rRNA
Rfam family: Archaeal small subunit ribosomal RNA
Source: RNAcentral